This 80-nucleotide transfer RNA is filed under the name Rhodococcoides trifolii. RNAcentral describes it as "Rhodococcus trifolii tRNA-Val". The record is from RNAcentral. Lineage: Bacteria; Bacillati; Actinomycetota; Actinomycetes; Mycobacteriales; Nocardiaceae.
GGCGCCGAUCGCGGCCCGGACGUCGGGAUCGGUGACGACGAUCCACUGCCACCCCUGUCGGUUCGAGCCCGACGGCGCCU